RNAcentral lists this long non-coding RNA (4163 nucleotides) under Nicotiana tabacum (common tobacco). Its description in RNAcentral is "long non-coding RNA (NTAB_LNC012830)". Lineage: Eukaryota; Viridiplantae; Streptophyta; Magnoliopsida; Solanales; Solanaceae. The record is from RNAcentral.
CCAUAUCCAACGGAUCUAAACUGAACCCCUAUCCCCUUUAAAUUUGUGCGAAUAACCCUCUAACCCCUCAGAACCCUCUCAUCUCUCCAUCUCUCUCAACUCAGCGAAAACCUAAACCGCUCUAAAAAUCAUCACCGGUGGACACUUCCCCAAACAACCAAAAAUCUUUACCCUACACUCCCCAUUCCCUAGAUCCUAAUCUAUAAUCCCCUACCGAUUUUCCCAGAAACCUCCCCAAUAUCCUUUAAUUUCAAAUCUAAAAAAUAACCAGAAACCCUAAUCUCCUUUGCUCAAUUAUUCAAGAUUCCCAAGAUCGAUUCGACCUGAAAAUUUGUGUUAAUCACUGUUCUCAAUGAGAACAUUCGAUUAACACUAGUUUCGGCUCAUCUCGAAGAAUGCCGGAAUCCGUUCAAGUCGGCCAUUUUUUUUCCUACACUGUGUGCUCUUUAGGUAUAUUUCUGUUCUUCCUUUUUUUCCUUUUUCUCUUUUCUUUCUUCCUCUCUUAUGCUCAGAAUGCACUUAGCCAAAUCGUUUAAUUGAGGUCGUCUGUUAAUUAUGAUUUGGUCGCAUUAAGCAGUGUUUAGUUUAACUUUAAUUACCCUUAGUUGAAAUUGCUAAAUUGUUGUUUAAAUUGAUAGUAAUUUGAUGAUUGUUAGGAUAUUAUUCUACUUGUCUAAAUUAAUUAAUUACAUAAUUAGUAGUUCAAUUACAUAUUAAUAGGUUUAAUUGCCUAAGUUUAAUGAAUUGUAAUUGGUUUGGUUUCUGUAUUGGUAUUUUUGUUUAAAGUUGUAUGUCCUUUGGGUGUGGUUAUUUGCAAUUACAUAAUUUUCAGGAGACUAAAGGGCACACCAAAAUUAGGGAUCUGAGUUGGUUAUGUGGGAAACUUCUAGAAAAGGUCAAAAUACAAUAAGACUAAUAAAAUUAGGUCAGAUUUGGGUAAAAGGGGUUAAUUUCAAAAGUUAAGGAGGCUAAAAAAUGUAGGGGAAUAUCUGAAUGGACAGUUGUCCUGUUCAAUUUCAAAAGAUGCUCUUUUCUUGAAAUUUAGGGACUGCAUUCUUAGAAUUAUUCCCUUUCAUUUGGGCACAUGACAACUUUCAUUUCUCUAUAUAAGACCUCAUAUCUUCACACACGCACACACACGACUCUCUGCAAUUCAGAAUUCCCCCUUUCAUUCUCUCGCUGAUCUUUACACUGAUUUCUGAAAACCCACUGUCCUUCACUUUCAUUUUUAGGAAAGAAAAUUUCUGGAAAACCAACUUUAAGAUUUCAGAAACAAAAAAGAACUAAAGGCUUCAUAAUUUGCUUCAUUAUCAAAUAGCUGUUUUUCCAAGUUCUAGGUUCAAAGUUUGGUUGAGCUACAUUCUCUGCUUGUUUGCUAUUGUUUUAUCGAGCUGUAGCUGACUCUAUUUCUAGAUGUGCUUCUCAAAAUCAAAGGCUUAUUUUUUUUGAUAACUAAAUAUUUUUAUUUAUCACCAAAGAAACUGUACAAAAUCGUAGCCAACUAACACAAUUAGCUAACCAAGUAACUGUUCCACUACUAUAUGAUCUAAGAGAACUUUUCUAGAAUCUAAACAUAAGAACUUCUUUCCUAAUUCUAGUUGGAGCUCUCACACUACAAACACAAGCAAUAUCUCUAGCUAAUGACUCAUUAUUUCUAUACACAUUCUCAAAAAUUCUCACAUUUCUUUCGAUCCAAAUGCUAUGGACAUAUUCCGUGUAUAUCAUCUUGAAAAUCUAUGCAGCUUGAUAUCUCCCCUUUGAUAUAUUAACAAUCUCUUGUUGAUGUUGUUGCCAUCCCAGUGUAUUCAUUGUCAUCCUUGUGCCCAGUGAAGCACUCUAUGCCAUACUUCUUUGGCAAAUUCGUAUUCCAGGAAGAGGUGCUCGUUAAUUUCCUCUGAGCUUUGGCACAUCACACAUUGAGUGUUUAUCUCACUCCCCAUUUGGUUAAUCUAUCAGCAGUUAGUAGCCUGCCCUACAGUUGCAACCAUAGCAUAAAUCUUGCUUUUGGUCGAGCAGUAUUGGCGAACAUCAUGCAUUUCCAUGGCACUCUAGCUUCCUCUCCUAUAAGUUGUAUGUAUAUUUGCCUUGUGAUACUCUUUCCAGUUUGAAAUUGCAUUGCAUUUCCUCCAGUGUAGACCUUUCUUCCAUAAUCUUCCGAACCAUCCAGCAUGCCUGUUGAGGUAUAGCCACAGAGUUUAUUGAUUGACCUUUAAUAUAAUAUGUGUGUAUCCAUUUGAUCUAUAGUUUAUCCUAUUUGUGUGCUAGAUCCUAGUAGGUCUUUGCUAUAGCCGCUUUAUUCCAAAGGUGUAAAUUUGUCAGGUUAAGGCCACCUAUACUUUUUGGAGCACAAACUUUAUCCCAAGAAACCAGAGCUUUCUUGGUGAUGGUAUUGCGGCCUGACUAUAUGGAGUUUCUACAAUAGGCAUCAAUAGUCUUUAGGACUGUAGCAGGUAGCACAAACAGUUAGGCCCAGUAGGCUUGCACACCAAAUAAAAUAGUUUGGACAAGUUGAAUUCUUUCUAUAUAGGAUAGUUUCUUUACAAUCUAUGAUGAGAUCUUUGCCACUAUCUUCUCUAUAAGAGGUUGCCACUGUAUUAGGGAAAGUUUCUUGGUCGGUAGUGGAACCCCAAGAUAUUUAAAUGGUAGUUCACCUUUAGAGAAACUCAGUUCAUGUUAGAUUCUUUCUCUGUCAUCUCUGCUCACUCUACCAAAGUAUAUUGAACUUUCCCCUAAGUUUGCUUUUAGAUCCGAGGCUUCAGAAAAUUGAUUAAAGCAAUGAUCUAGUGCAGUCAUUGAUGUGAUUUCACCUCUGGCAAAGAGCAAUAGAUCAUCUGCAAAACACAAGUGUGUGAUUUCUAGCUUUGAACAUCUCGGAUGAUAAUGAAAAUCUGCCAUAUUUAUCAUUCCUUUCAGGCUCCUACUCAAGUAUUCCAUUGCAAUGGCAAAGAGGAAAGGAGACAUGAGAUCUCCUUAUUUGGGUCCUUUAGCGGCAUUGAAAGGUUCUGAUGGUUCACCAUUAAUUAAUAUACUAUAAGUGAUUGUUUGCGUACACUCUAGGACCCAUAUGAUGAAUUGUGCAAGAAAUCCUAGUUCCGCCAUGAUCUGCUUCAAGUAUAUCCACUCCACUGGACCAUAAGCUUUUUAAAAAUCUAUCUUUAUCAUGCAUAUUGAAGAUACAUACUUUCUUGUGUAAGACUUCACCAGUUCAUGUGAUAAGAUGAUAUUAUCCUAAAUCUUUUUCCCAAGUAUAAAGCCUGUUUGUGCUUCACUGAUAAUGGAUGCAAUGACCUUCUGGAUUCUUGCUGCUAUGACUUUAGAGAUCAAUUUAUACAGGAUUGUGCAACGAGCUAUUGGUCUGUAUUCCUUAACUAUUGUAGGAUUAUCACUCUUUGGCAGUAGAGGCUUAUUUUAUUUUUGCUUAGUUGUUUCUAAGGGACUGACUGAUCUCCCAGAAUGUAAUCCUACUUUGAAUUAAUGAAAUAUUUGAUAUAAUUACAAUUGCUUUGUUGUUUGUUUGGAACUGAUGUCAUGGUGUGCUGGUUUUUAUGCUUAAUAUGUAUGAAUCUGUCUUUUAAGUUGUGUGAUUGUUGUUCCAAUAUGGAAAUGAUAUAAACAUGUAGUAGAUGUUUCUUCAUGUAUUCACAAUAUUCUGCCAUGCUACUUGCCAAUUUGACUUAACUUUAAUUUAUUCUGAUGGAAUUAACCUAGGCCUGUGUGAAAGUUACUUGAUUAUUUUGUUUCCAAAUAAUCACUGAAAUUCUCAUUGAGUUGUAAUUAAUCUAGUGUUCAAUUUGGUUUAAACAGAUCUAGAAGUUUCUAAAUAGAUAUGAAAGACGACUGUUUGUUGUAGUAGUUAAUUCUGAGUUGGAUAGUGAUCUAGCCUAGGAUUUAAUAAUUUUGCUAUAAUAUUGAUAAGUUGUAUGUUAAGUCAUUUGAAACUGGUCCUGUAAUAAUGUUUUUUUUGUGUUGUUUAAAUUUGCGAAUGUAAGUUCUUCAGAAUUACAGUCUGCAUGUAUUUUCAUAUUCAUUCUGGCCCUGAUAAUGAUUUGGACCAGUUGAAAUGAUUUUUAGUGGCUAAGGACUUCAGGUCUGUCUAAUAAAAGCAUGCACGUAGUGCAAUUGGGCCAGCCAUUUAGACCCAUUGCUGUCAGAAGCCGGUCAAA